AUGAAAUUCCUUGCUCAGCUCCUGGGGCUGCUAAUGCUCUGGAUCCCAGGAUCCAGUGGAGAUAUUGUGAUGACCCAGACUCCACUCUCCCUGCCUGUUGUCCCUGGAGAGCUGGCCUCCAUCUCAUGCAGGUGUAGUCAGAGCCUCCUACAUAGUAAUGGAAACACCUAUUUGCACUGGUUCCUGCAGAAGCCAGGCCAGUCUCCAAGGCGUCUGACCUAUAGGGUGUCCAACCGGAACUCUGGGGUCCCAGACAGGUUCAUUGGCAGCGGGUCAGGGACAGAUUUUACACUUGGAGGCUGA
Equus quagga is the source of this 303-nucleotide non-coding RNA. The record is from the annotation of a RefSeq genome assembly. Lineage: Eukaryota; Metazoa; Chordata; Mammalia; Perissodactyla; Equidae.